RNAcentral lists this transfer RNA (75 nucleotides) under Dehalococcoidia bacterium. RNAcentral's name for it is "tRNA-Asn". It matches the Rfam family "tRNA". From Rfam's summary of the family: Transfer RNA (tRNA) molecules are approximately 80 nucleotides in length. Their secondary structure includes four short double-helical elements and three loops (D, anti-codon, and T loops). The record is from RNAcentral. Lineage: Bacteria; Bacillati; Chloroflexota; Dehalococcoidia. RNAcentral also lists the same sequence under 1 other name.
UCCCCGGUAGCUCAAUGGUAGAGCGGGCGGCUGUUAACCGCUAGGUUGGACGUUCGAAUCGUCCCCGGGGAGCCA